This 1341-nucleotide ribosomal RNA is filed under the name uncultured Microbacteriaceae bacterium. Its description in RNAcentral is "bacterial SSU rRNA". It matches the Rfam family "Bacterial small subunit ribosomal RNA", at positions 28 to 1380 of the family's 1533-position model. The record is from RNAcentral. Lineage: Bacteria; Bacillati; Actinomycetota; Actinomycetes; Micrococcales; Microbacteriaceae.
GAUGAACGCUGGCGGCGUGCUUAACACAUGCAAGUCGAACGGUGAAGCCAAGCUUGCUUGGUGGAUCAGUGGCGAACGGGUGAGUAACACGUGAGCAACCUGCCCUGGACUCUGGGAUAAGCGCUGGAAACGGCGUCUAAUACUGGAUAUGAGCUCUCAUCGCAUGGUGGGGGUUGGAAAGAUUUUUCGGUCUGGGAUGGGCUCGCGGCCUAUCAGCUUGUUGGUGAGGUAAUGGCUCACCAAGGCGUCGACGGGUAGCCGGCCUGAGAGGGUGACCGGCCACACUGGGACUGAGACACGGCCCAGACUCCUACGGGAGGCAGCAGUGGGGAAUAUUGCACAAUGGGCGGAAGCCUGAUGCAGCAACGCCGCGUGAGGGAUGACGGCCUUCGGGUUGUAAACCUCUUUUAGCAGGGAAGAAGCGAGAGUGACGGUACCUGCAGAAAAAGCGCCGGCUAACUACGUGCCAGCAGCCGCGGUAAUACGUAGGGCGCAAGCGUUAUCCGGAAUUAUUGGGCGUAAAGAGCUCGUAGGCGGUUUGUCGCGUCUGCUGUGAAAUCCCGAGGCUCAACCUCGGGCCUGCAGUGGGUACGGGCAGACUAGAGUGCGGUAGGGGAGAUUGGAAUUCCUGGUGUAGCGGUGGAAUGCGCAGAUAUCAGGAGGAACACCGAUGGCGAAGGCAGAUCUCUGGGCCGUAACUGACGCUGAGGAGCGAAAGGGUGGGGAGCAAACAGGCUUAGAUACCCUGGUAGUCCACCCCGUAAACGUUGGGAACUAGUUGUGGGGACCAUUCCACGGUUUCCGUGACGCAGCUAACGCAUUAAGUUCCCCGCCUGGGGAGUACGGCCGCAAGGCUAAAACUCAAAGGAAUUGACGGGGACCCGCACAAGCGGCGGAGCAUGCGGAUUAAUUCGAUGCAACGCGAAGAACCUUACCAAGGCUUGACAUACACCAGAACACCGUAGAAAUACGGGACUCUUUGGACACUGGUGAACAGGUGGUGCAUGGUUGUCGUCAGCUCGUGUCGUGAGAUGUUGGGUUAAGUCCCGCAACGAGCGCAACCCUCGUUCUAUGUUGCCAGCACGUAAUGGUGGGAACUCAUGGGAUACUGCCGGGGUCAACUCGGAGGAAGGUGGGGAUGACGUCAAAUCAUCAUGCCCCUUAUGUCUUGGGCUUCACGCAUGCUACAAUGGCCGGUACAAAGGGCUGCAAUACCGUGAGGUGGAGCGAAUCCCAAAAAGCCGGUCCCAGUUCGGAUUGAGGUCUGCAACUCGACCUCAUGAAGUCGGAGUCGCUAGUAAUCGCAGAUCAGCAACGCUGCGGUGAAUACGUUCCCGGGUC